Phlebotomus argentipes is the source of this 530-nucleotide long non-coding RNA. RefSeq lists it as uncharacterized. Lineage: Eukaryota; Metazoa; Arthropoda; Insecta; Diptera; Psychodidae. The record is from RefSeq and is a predicted model, not a curated record. The transcript has 2 exons.
UACAAAUAAAGUGGAAAAACGAUGGAUAUUGUAUGACGCGUAGUUCCAGAGAUUUCUUACUGGGGAAAAACCCUAUAACACAGUGUCUUUCAUCCCUAGAACCGCACGAUCAGUCACAUAUUAUUUUAUGAGUUUACAUAUGAUAUGUCACACACAACAUUUGUUACACAUGUAACAAAUUGAACUUUAUUCAUACAAAAUCUCAUACGAUACCAUGUGGGGAUAUUUCAGACAUGAUAUCAUGUUUUUUCGUGAGAUAAAUCGAAAAAAUUUUCCAUGUCGCCAUUGUACAUAUUUGGUGCUACAGCUGUUAGAGUGAAUUGAAACAUCCAGAAAAGUUGAAAAUAUUCCAGAAAAUUGCCUCCUGAGGACACCAGAGCAUAGAAAUGCCGGCAACAGACUCCUGGACAUCGGCAAGGCGCAGGCAAUGCAUAGAGAUCCGAAGUGCGAGGCGAAGGAGCUAAGAAUGCGACCUCUGGAUGAUCAUCUCGACCACACGGCGACAGAAGGAAAAAUGUACAUUUUUUUUU